AAAACAAUACAAGGGUGAUUCAUGGUCAAGACACCGAAAUACAUGACAAAAAUCCAAAGUUCCAAACAUGAUACAAAUUACACAUAUUGAUCUAAGGUUGAAUUUGGUAAAUUUGUUGACUUUUUUUGUCAACAAUUGACCAAAGUCAACUUUCUUAUCCCAAAAACUUAAUUUUACUUUCUUCAUCCAUAAGAUACUCCAAAGCAUUCAAGUCCUUUGUGCCUUGACCAAAC
Molecule: long non-coding RNA, 233 nt
Filed under: Lathyrus oleraceus (garden pea)
Lineage: Eukaryota; Viridiplantae; Streptophyta; Magnoliopsida; Fabales; Fabaceae
Description: Pisum sativum (pea) long non-coding RNA (PSAT_LNC016430)
Source: RNAcentral